This 73-nucleotide transfer RNA is filed under the name Camelus bactrianus (Bactrian camel). It matches the Rfam family "tRNA". Rfam says of the family: Transfer RNA (tRNA) molecules are approximately 80 nucleotides in length. Their secondary structure includes four short double-helical elements and three loops (D, anti-codon, and T loops). Lineage: Eukaryota; Metazoa; Chordata; Mammalia; Artiodactyla; Camelidae. RNAcentral also lists the same sequence under 2 other names. The record is from Rfam by way of RNAcentral.
GCGGGCAUAGCUCAAGUGGUAGAGCACGUGCUUAGCAUGCACAAGGUCCUGGGUUCAAUCCCCAGCAUCUCCU